CCUACGGGAGGCCAGCAGUGAGGACUAUUGGGCGAUGGAGGCAACUCUGACCCAGCCAUUCCGCGUGCAGGAAGAAUNCCCUAUGGGUUGUAAACUGCUUUUAUUUAGGAAUNNACCUCUCUACGUGUAGAGAGCUGAAUGUANUAUANGAAUAAGCACCGGCUAACUCCGUGCCAGCAGCCNCGGUAAUNCGGAGGGUGCAAGCGUUAUCCGGAAUCAUUGGGUUUUAAGGGUCCGCAGGCGGANGUAUNAGUCAGUGGUGAAAUCCUNCAGCUUAACUGCAGAACUGCCAUUGAUACUGUANNUCUUGAAUUCGGUCGANGUGNUNGGAAUUUGUACUGUANCGGUGNUAUNCAUAGAUAUNACNCAGAACACCGAUAGCGAAGNCAGCUCACUAGGCCUGGAUUGACGCUCAGGNACGAAAGCGUGGGGAUCAAACAGGANUAGAUACCCUGGUAGUCCACGCUGUAAACGAUGAUCACUCGUUUUCGGCGAUAUACAGAUCGGAGNCUCAAGCGAAAGUGAUAAGUGANCCGCCUGGGGAGUACGAUCCA
Molecule: ribosomal RNA, 554 nt
Filed under: uncultured Bacteroidota bacterium
Lineage: Bacteria; Pseudomonadati; Bacteroidota
Description: uncultured Bacteroidetes bacterium partial 16S ribosomal RNA
Rfam family: Bacterial small subunit ribosomal RNA
Source: RNAcentral